CUCAAAGAUUAAGCCAUGCAAGUGGUUAUAUUAACCCGACAGUUUAAAUAAGUGUUAAAUGCUACCAUUAAACUUAUGCAAUAUCACGCACACACACACACACAUAUGAUUUUGUUUACAGUAGUAACAAUUUCAGCGUGAAUCACACCAUCACACAGUGAAUCACUGAAAUUUACCCAAUAUCAGUAUCACUUACGCAACUGCAGACAGCUGCUUAAUACAGUCACACUUGUCUUGACUUGGCGUAAUAAAAAUAUUUCAUUCAAUACACUGCUUAAACGCAGUGCAGAGGGUGAAUUUUUUUAUUUUGUUGCAUCACACGCACAAAAUUUUUUGAUUUCUCUGUAUCGCUUAUUCUCAAGGACAUGCGUUACACCGUGACAAUUUUCUUUAUGGAUAACUCAGGGAAAGUUUGGCUAAUACGUACGAGUAAUAUACCUCACACACACACACACAAUUCAAAAUUUUUUGUUUUGCGCCGUGUAUCGACAACACACACACACACACACAAUCACUACUCAGCACUCAGUGGUACACUUUGAGUGCGUUCGCGCAUUCAGUUUAAAGUUUAACUGCAACAUGAGAGACAUUGAGCACGCACGUGUCGUACCUUCGGGUACUUCACAUCACGCUGAGCAGACUUUGCGAAGUAUACUGUGCGAAGCAUGUCAUACAAGCAUCUACAGCAUCAAGUCACAGGGUUGGCAAGUGUAUUUUUGAACCUUCAAAGCAGUCACGCAUACGGAAGAGUAGUUUCUGAUCCCAUAGAAGGAGCACCGUACAAUGAGAGACCGCUCUUAGUUCUAAGGAACGCAGCAGGCGCGUACAUUGCCCAAUGCUAGUACCCUACAAUCAAAUUGUAUUUACAUGCGUUAACAAUUUACAACAUUACAACAAAGUUUAUUACACACAUAUAACACUAUAUUUUUUCUGUUACCCAACAGAAUUUAUUUAUUCUAAACAUCCUUGUUCGUUGUUUAUUCAGCACGAUGAUAUUAAUUUAUUAUUUUACUGAGGCAGUGACAAGCUGUAACGGUUGAGUAUAAAAAUGACGAGUGUCUGGCAUUGCCGCUCUUUCGGGAGCUUGGCAAGUUGCCGACGCUUUGUGUGCUCAAUUGGAAUGCGGUGAGUUUAAGCAACUCAGAACCUUUGAACGGUGUUAGUAAAAUUUCACUGUUUAUGUAUCUGAAUUUCAAGUGGAGGGCAAGUCUGGUGCCAGCAGCCGCGGUAAUACCAGCUCCACUGGCCUAUACAAUCAUUGUUGCGGUUAAGAGGCUCGUAGUUGGAUUGAACUGCAAAUAUGAAUGAUUCUUAUCAUUCAGUUUUGAAGUUUUACGCUUAACCUUAAAUUUCCAAAUUUUUGGUUUUGCGUUCGACGCUGUUAAAAUUCUUACAAUUUCACGGUUGUACUAAUUUUUUUUACACGGCACAAAUUUUUUCUGCCGCCGCUUCGUAUAUAUAUUUUCCUCAUACACACAUACCACUGGGAUAAAUAUACGACGCAGCAUUUUUACACGCACACACACAACGCGGGAAAUCUUUGGAACUCAUGACACUCAUAGAAUUUAUUCUCCUUUCAUCNCUGUGAACAAAUCAAGUGUAUCAAACAUGUCRUUUUUGAAUGUGCAUUGAAUGUCUUAUCAUGGGAUGUUGCACUUUCGCCAUAGAAAUUUUUUACUGCAUCUUACGUGACGAAAAUAUUUUCUCACACACACACACACACACACGUACAUGUUUACAUAGCCACGUAUUAAAUUUUUAUCAACGGUAAAUUUUUUUUAACGGUUAAAAAUGUCGAUGGGGAUAGUUGGAGUCAACAGUACUGCUGGGCGAGAGGUGAAAUUCAUUGACCCUAGCAAGACUACCAAAAGCGAAAGCAGUUGGCUAGGCUAUACUCUUUGUGAUUAUUUAUUUAUGUGUUACGCCACUAAUUUAUACACACACACACACACGCAAAUAUUUUUUAGCGGCACACACAUUUAUAUUAUAUAUACACUUUACAAUGAAGAACGAAGGUUGGGGGAUCAAAGAGGAUCAGAUACCCUCGUCGUCCCAUUAAUUACAUCAAACGAUGGGCUCUCAAUUGCAUUUUUCAUUAAAUUGCAAAUUUCCUCAGCCUACAAAAUAACUUGGCUUGAGCUCGUAUUUUUAUACGCUCGCCUAAAUUUUUUCGUACGGUCUCGAUGGACGUUUCAUUUAAAAUUUUUUUGCGUGUAAGCAUUUGUUAUUCUUUGAAACAUAAGAAUGCAUUGCGUGCACUUGAUUUUCGGAGCUUUGCACUCAAUUCUGGUGAGAUGUAAGCACUGUGUCAUAUUACCCGCAGCGUAUAGCUUCGGCUAUUUCGUCUGUCGUGUGUAGUUGACAAUCUUGGUGUGAAGCACGCUUUAGGCACGCGCUUACUGCAGAAAUGUCUGAGACAUUCCCCUCCGGGGGUAGUAUGCACGCAAGUGUGAAACUUGAAGGAAUUGACGGAAGGGCACCACAAGAACGCGUGGAGCAUGUGGCUUAAUUUGACUCAACGCGGGAAAUCUUACCGGGUCCGGACACACUGAGGAUUGACAGGCAAUAUUAAUACGUCAGUUCGCCGUGUAUUAUGUUAAAUAUGCUAGUCCUUUCAUGAUUAUGUGAUAGGUGGUGCAUGGCCGUUCUUAGUUCGUGGAGUGAUCUGUCUGCUUAAUUGCGUUUCACUAAGGGCCUAUAAUUCUUACGUGUGUUGCAGCACUUUGACCCCUCAGCAAUGAGCGCGCGUCUUAGUUUGCUUGCUCGCACAAUUAGGUCCUGAAAGCAACGAACGUGACCGCAACCUCUUGUUGCCUUUAUACCAACAUGUUUUGUUUAUGUCUUUAUAGAUAUUCAUGAAAAAAGGCUUUUAAACUAGAGGGACCGCUGUUACUUUCUUAAACCCAGAGGAAGGUUGCGGCAAUAACAGGUCUGUGAUGCCCUUAGAUGUUCCGGGCUGCACACGUGCUACAAUGAUUAUUGCAGUGAGCAUCUCAUUUUUACACACCGCAUGCGCGAGUCUAUUUAUUCGUGUUCGCACGUUUUAAAUAUGUAUUUCUGCGCGCGGUAAAGCCUGCUUCGAAAGUAAGUGGGUAAUCAAUUAGAAGUAAUGAUUUCCUUUUUUUUAGCACACAUAUAUACGGCGUCUAUGCCCGGGCUGCCUUGUUGUAGCUUUUGUGCGUAUAGAUGUUUUUUCCGUAUGUGCGAUUGUCAAUUCAUGGUGGGGACAGACCAUUGUUAAUUGUUGGUCUCGGUCUUAACUAGGAAUGCCUUGUACGGGUCUUUGGUUCAACAAACCACCCGGAAUACGUCCCUGCCCUUUGUACACACCGCCCGUCGCUCUUACCGAUGGACUUCUCUGUGAGUUUGAGGGACUGGGAACGCAGAUUUAUCUGCACACCUAUGGAAACUUAAACGAACAGUGUGGUCUAAAGGAAAGAGAAGUCGUAACAAGGCAUCGGUAGGUGAACCU
This 3472-nucleotide ribosomal RNA is filed under the name Pullenia subcarinata. RNAcentral describes it as "SSU rRNA". It matches the Rfam family "Eukaryotic small subunit ribosomal RNA". The record is from RNAcentral. Lineage: Eukaryota; Foraminifera; Rotaliida; Nonionidae.